GAUAAACGCGGCGGCGUGCAUAACACAUGCAAGUCGAACGAUGAAACUUAGCUGAUUUCUUCGGAAUGAAAUUAAGUGGAUUAGUGGCGAACGGGUGAGUAACACGUGAGUAACCUGCCUUACACAAGGGGAUAGCCUUUGGAAACGAAGAAUAAUACCCUAUGACGUCAAAAUAUCGCAUGAUAUAGUGACCAAAGAUUUAUCGGUGUAAGAUGGACUUGCGUCUGAUUAGCUAGUUGGUGAGAUAAAAGCCCACCAAGGCGACGAUCAGUAGCCGGCUUGAGAGAGUGUACGGCCACAUUGGGACUGAGACACGGCCCAAACUCCUACGGGAGGCAGCAGUGGGGAAUUUUGCACAAUGGGGGAAACCCUGAUGCAGCGACGCCGCGUGAUUUAGAAGGCCUUCGGGUUGUAAAAAUCUUUUUUAUGGGAUGAAAAUGACAGUACCAUAAGAAUAAGGUCCGGCUAAAUACGUGCCAGCAGCCGCGGUAAUACGUAUGGACCGAGCGUUGUCCGGAAUCAUUGGGCGUAAAGGGUACGUAGGCGGCCUAGUAAGUUAGAAGUGAAAUAAUAUAGCUCAACUAUAUAAAGCUUUUAAAACUGUUAGGCUUGAGAGAUGAAAGGGAAAGUGGAAUUCCUAGUGUAGCGGUGAAAUGCGCAGAUAUUAGGAAGAAUACCGGUGGCGAAGGCGACUUUCUGGUCAUCAUCUGACGCUGAGGUACGAAAGCGUGGGUAGCAAACAGG
RNAcentral lists this ribosomal RNA (744 nucleotides) under uncultured Anaerococcus sp. RNAcentral's name for it is "bacterial SSU rRNA". It matches the Rfam family "Bacterial small subunit ribosomal RNA", at positions 28 to 776 of the family's 1533-position model. Lineage: Bacteria; Bacillati; Bacillota; Tissierellia; Tissierellales; Peptoniphilaceae. The record is from RNAcentral.